Molecule: long non-coding RNA, 1394 nt
Organism: Homo sapiens (human)
Lineage: Eukaryota; Metazoa; Chordata; Mammalia; Primates; Hominidae
Source: Ensembl
GGGUUAUGUGGCUCUUUUGAUUAUCCCCAGCUCUACCUGCAAGGAGCACUGGGAAAUAUAUCUUUGGGCCCCUCAAUUAGGUGAUGUGACUCCCCUUUCUGGACUCUUUCCUCAGGAGGUAUUGUGACAUAUUCCUGGAGCAAGUACCCAGGAGAGAUUGUGACAUAUCUCUGGAACCAGAACCUUGGUGAUGUGACUCUUCUCUCCUGCUGAAGCCAUGCCCACACAAGGGAAAGUGACUUAUCACUGGGCCCAGCACACAGCGCUAUUCACAGGGAAAAUAGUGACACAUCUGUGGGGUUCUCACCGAAAUGAUGUGACUCUCUUGCCUGGGCUCACCUCUCAAGGGAAUUUUGACAUAUUACUGGACCAAGCACCUAGGCCCUGCAUUUAUUGUGUAUUGUGACAUAUGGCUUGGUCCAACACCUAGGUGGUGUGACUCUCUACUUCUUCCUGUGCCAUGCCAAAGAAGAGGAUUGUGACAUAUCACUGGAUCCAGCACCUAGAAGGCUCUGCGACUCUUCUAUUUUCUCUAGGUUAUGCAAAUGGAGGUGGAUUGUGACAUAUCAUAGGGCCAACACAACACACAGUCUACAGGUGGAAUUGGGACUCUCAUGCAUGGAUCCAGUUCAUCAUUGAUACUGUGACUCAGGUGGGAUUUUGACAUAUAACUGCACCCAGCACACAGGUGAGAUUGUGACUCUUGUAUGCUCAUCCUGCCAAAAGUUGAGUGUCACCCUCACACAUGGACAGAGACUUCUGGAGACAGAUGGAUUUUGGAGAAUGACAGUGGAUUAUCAUGAGGUUAAUCAAGUGGUAACUCCAAUUGCAGCUGCUGUACCAGAUGUAGUUUCAUUGCUUGAGCAAAUUACCACAUCUCCUGGUACCUGUGGUCCAUUACAUUGAUGACAUUAUGCUGAUUGAAUCCAGUAAGCAAGAAAUAGCAAACACACCAGACUUAUUCAUGAGACGUUUGCAUGCCAGAGGAUGGAAAAUAAGUCUGACUAAAAUUUAGAGACCUUCUAGCUCAGUAAAACUUCCAGGGGUCCAGUGGUCCAAGGCCUGUCAAGAUAGUCCUUCUAAGGUAAAAGAUGCAGUGGCUCAUGCCUGUAAUCCCAGCACUUUCGGAGGCUGAGGUGGGCAGAUCAGGAGGUUAGGAGUUCGAGACCAGCCUGGCCAACAUGGUGAAAUGCCAUCUCUACUAAAAUUUUAAAAAAUUAGCUAGACGUGGUGGCAGGCACCUGUAAUCUCAGCUACAUGGGAGGUUGAGGCAGGAGAAUUGCUUGAAACUGGAAGGCAGGGGUUGCAGUGAGCUGAGAUCAGGCCACUGCAUUCCAGCCUGGACAACAAGAGUAAAACUCCAUCUCAAAAAAAUUUGUUUAUAUAUAUGUUUA